UUUAAGUAAUCAAAUUUAUUUCUUAUACAAAAAAUUCUGAAAUACAAAAUGUUCUGAAAGAAAAAAAUUAAAUUAUUUAGGAUAAAAUUCAUUUUAAUGCGCAAUAAUUGAACUUCGGUCAAAACAAUUUGUUCAUGUGAAAUUUAAACUCACACCCAUAGAAGCAGAUAUGUAUUUAGUCUCAGUAAUUACCAUCAAUAAAUAACAUACAAGCUCAACGGCAACGGAUCUGAGCUUAAUUGAAUCCUUACAUUCCACAAAAUGAAUAUGAAAAGGAUUGACGGCUUUUUUCGCGUGAUAAAGAAAUUACACCGAAGGUAUUGGCCAUAUUAUGUAAUUAUGCAACGCGAGCAUGUAAAAGUGCUGAGUGCACAUUUGAGCGCUCUCAGAAAUUUGUUUAGUUUAAUGAACUUAAUGCCAAAAAAUCAAGAUAUUUGUAUGUCCGGAUAUGGGGGGUGUGCUCAAAAAAUUUGGUGAAGUGUCCAUCGCUCAAACUAAACUGAAUCAACUAAUCUCAAAGCAGUCAAAAAAGCUUUUUUAGUACGAAAUGGCACCUUUCUAACGCCAUCCAGCGGAACCCGAUCGAACUUUUACAGCUCGAGAUACGGAUAAAUAGCGCAAUCUUAUUUGAAAAAUAACUGCACAUAAUAUAUGUAAAUUACGCUCACUUCCUCAACAGACCACGUAUGACAAACUGAUUGUGUUCUCGUAAGACCGGAGGCUAAUAUAAUAGCAGACCAACAAUUGUGAUGGACGGAAAUCAAGAUGAAAAUUAUUGGCUCCUUGUGAAAUGUACUACAGCGGCAAAAUAUAAGAGCGCAAAUUUUGUGUCGGUUUCGUGGUGGGAGAGGGACUUAGUCACUGAACCUGAGAUUCACCCUGAUGAAGCCUCGCCCUACAUCAAAAAGAAAGUCUUCAACAUGACUUGGGCUCACACCCCGACGGCUGUCAACUACGAUGUGACCAAAGACUCUUUCGCUAAAAAAGAGAAAGGGGACUUUACUUUUGAACUGUCCACUCAGCCCAAAGUGGAACCUGCAGGCAUGAUUGUUUCUACGCUGGAUUUCAAAGCUGACAUUAUUUUUGUUCUUGAUGUCUACGACAUCAAAAUUGAUGUAUAUCAAAUUCAGACAUAGCGGCGGAGAGGCAGCUUCUUACUGUAUUGUCGAAGGCAGCUGUAAAAUCGGGACUACCUUCCAGAGACUUACAAUCCAAACGACUCAUUUUCAAUAAGCAAUACUAUAUAUUUUCCCAAAAAAAAUUGCGAAAAUUUCAACUAAAUUCAUUAUCUAUUGAUUUCUAUGAGUGUAAUUUCGACACAAGCAAAAAUACAAAAUUCAAAUUGUGCAUAGCAAAAAGA
This 1360-nucleotide long non-coding RNA is filed under the name Ceratitis capitata (Mediterranean fruit fly). Its description in RNAcentral is "uncharacterized LOC105664955, transcript variant X2". Lineage: Eukaryota; Metazoa; Arthropoda; Insecta; Diptera; Tephritidae. The record is from RNAcentral.